This is a long non-coding RNA of Asparagus officinalis (garden asparagus), 1481 nucleotides long. RefSeq lists it as uncharacterized. The transcript has 3 exons. NCBI's taxonomy places the organism in Eukaryota, Viridiplantae, Streptophyta, Magnoliopsida, Asparagales, Asparagaceae. The record is from RefSeq and is a predicted model, not a curated record.
AUCCUUCACUUACCGAACUUUGUUGGAUCUAUAACAAGCUUUCUUUUUCCCUGAUUUCUUCCAAGUAAUGUUCAUGACUUAAUUUAUACAUGAACCCUGAAGACGCCUUAGAAGUAUGAAUCAGAUUUUUCGGAGUUUUUCUGUAAACAGUCAAUUAUGUAAUGAUUAUUGAUUCCUUAAGCACCCAAAGUAAACCUACAGCAACAUAUACCGAAAAUUAAGCAGGUGGAUGUUUUGAACAAGCACCUCUACUGGUUGUGGCAAUGCCAGCGUCAUUCAGCUCAGCAGCUAUAAUAGGCCAUAGUUUCUGCUUGUGUGCCUCAGUAGUUUCUGCUUGUGUGCCUCAGAUGCGCAAUCCAUGUCAUGAAAGAGUUCAAAAUGGUAUCACAGAUUAAAGUUAUUCUAUGGGACAAAUUCCGAGCCUGACGAAUUUAUGAUGCAAGUAUUUUAGUCCACUGAAUCAAUAGAAACCCAAUGACACCAGAUAUUUCUUAUUAUUUCAGAACAUUGUUGCUAACUUAGUAUUCAUGCUGAGCAAGGGGUUACUAUGUACUGCUCUCAGUUGGGGUUGAAAAGAUCCAUUAAGGUUGGAAAGACCCAAUCUACUUGGUUGAAUUGACUCGUAAGGAUCAAUCCUAUUUGAUUCAUGAGUCCAAGUAUAUUUAAUCAGUCAAUCUUACCCCCUUUCCAAUGUCGUACUAAAUCUCAGCUUGUGCCUUUUUCUAAACCAAAUCCAUACUUAACCUAAUGGAUUGGGUCUCUACACUAAUGGAUGCUUGUGCUUUCAAGACUUAAAAAGUAGCCAGUUAAUACUGGCUUAGCUCUUGUUUCUGUCAUAAGUCUGGAUAGGCGCAGCUACACGAUGCAAAGUUUGAAGUUUGAUUAAUUGGUUUUAUCCCACCAGGAGUUUCCUUUGUAUUCUUGAAUUUUGCCUGAACAGAACAGUAGCAGCAAUACCCGCGUCUGUAGUCCUGGGUUAAUGUUGUUUUGGUCAAGCCAGCUCGCUUCUGGGCGUGCAGACAAAAUAUGUAGGCUUAAGCAAGAAAUUUCAUAGGUAUUAGCAUCCAACAUCUAAUCCUUAAUGUAUCAGUUCGUUGCCUGACAUCGAACCUUUCUGGUGGUAGUUAUUGCAGGACACUGCUCCUAAAUAUGCAGGAUUUAUUCCAGGUAUAUUUGAUAAACGUUGCGCACCAUCGUCCAUGUGACCAUUGGAGAUCAUCUUUCUUCUCUCUUUUUGCUGCGAAGUUGGAUAUGGUUGCCCCCGCGUAAAAAAAAAAAGAUGCAGUUUAAAGAGAGACUAUUUUCUUCAACUGUCGGGCACGAAGAUCAGACUAUUAAUGCACAGUUCUCUUCUCCAAGGUGGAAAAAUAUCGAGCAGGGUCCCUCAGCUUUGAGAUCAUGAUUGAUAGAAUCGGAUGAUGGCUUGCACAAGGGGCAUUUAGCAGAGGGGCCACUUCGGCUCGAUUAAUGGCGCACAGGAA